Manis pentadactyla (Chinese pangolin) is the source of this 1318-nucleotide long non-coding RNA. RefSeq lists it as uncharacterized. The transcript is spliced from 2 exons. The record is from RefSeq and is a predicted model, not a curated record. Lineage: Eukaryota; Metazoa; Chordata; Mammalia; Pholidota; Manidae.
UCAGUUUUGUCUGAUAUAUGUGUGUGUGUGUGUGUAUUUAUUGAAGGCUUUAGUUUUGUGGUUACCGAAGGUUCAAAGACAGCUUUUUUACUGUAUAAUAGUCUAUCUUGAAUUGCUGAUUAUUUCAAACACAAUCUAAAGGUACUGUUUUUCUCCUUCUUCCUCCUCCAUUCUAAUAACUCUUCUCUGGAGUUUUACUUUAGGAUGUUCUUUUCUACAACAGAAAGUCACCUCUGUCCCUAAACAGAGCCACCCGGGCUGUUUUUGUCCUGUUUUGUCCGCUGCGGCGCUCCGUGCUCCGCGGACAUCCGGGAACCACCACAGCGAGGGUCCAGGAGCUGCAGACCCAGCCCAGCUGGGGAUUCUGGGAAGAUGGCGAAGUGGGGUCCUGCUGCCCCGAGGACCUGCUCCCCUUGCGGUCCCAGGCGGGAACUACCUGGAAUACCAGUCGUUCUGAAGAGGACCACAGCCAAGGACGCCGAGAGAGCCUCCUGGAGAGGCUACCGCGCCUGCGCUCCUGCGCCCAGUGGUCCCCUGCCCGCUGCCCCGCAGGGACUCCUUCAGAGCGAGUCCCGCCGCCACACCCGGCGACCAACCCCAGCCAGGACCGGCAGUCCGCCAGAGCGACCCCUGGCCUUGGGGGACCGAGCUCCGCAUCCAGGCCGCUGCAGUUGACAGAGCCCGGCCCGCAAGCAGCCCUCAGCCGCCCCCACCCUGCCUGCGCCCUCGCAGCAGGCCGGCGCGGCCGCACUAGGAGCCCACACGGGGGCCCCGCGGGAUCCCCUGGGAGUCCUGGCUCUGGGGUGCCGCAGUACUGAGCACCACUACCUGACGCCUACUGCAUAAUUAGGUCACUGGCGAGGUAGUUCAGGUACCUAAUACAUAGAAACAAACACAGUGUCACACAAAAUGGGACAGAGGAAUGUGCUCCAAGCAAAGGGACGGGGCGACAAGCCAAAAAGAGAGCUAAACAAAACGAAGAUAAGCAAUCUAACCGAUACAGAGUUCAAAGUAAUAGUCAUAAAGUUACUCAUCAGCUUGAAGAGAGAAGUGGAUAAACUUGAUGAGGAUGUCAGAAAAGGAAUAGAAAUUAUAAAAAUGAACCAGUUAGGGGCGCAGAAUACACUGAAAUCAAAAAUACACUAGAGCAAGUGAACAGACCCAGACACUAUGUUUUAGACCUGGGGAACACCCAGGGGAUACUUGGUCCCACCCCUUCUUUAUCCUACAAUGUGUAGCACAGAGUCACUAACUCAGUUAUAAUAUCUCACAUGAUUAUUUGAAAACUUCAUUUGUAAUAAAGCUUGUUUCAUUUAAC